This is a long non-coding RNA of Chenopodium quinoa (quinoa), 307 nucleotides long. RefSeq lists it as uncharacterized. Lineage: Eukaryota; Viridiplantae; Streptophyta; Magnoliopsida; Caryophyllales; Amaranthaceae. The transcript has 3 exons. The record is from RefSeq and is a predicted model, not a curated record.
GGAUACAUUAGUAGUUAACAAUGUGAUCGAUUCAUGGGCAGUACUUCUGAAUCAAAAAAGGUCAAAGAACAAGUUAUACUUUUCAACAUUUCCACAUCAAAUUAUGUAUGCAAAUACAGUGUGUCCUGAAGGAUCAUCAAUGGAGCUUAGAAUUGCAUACUUCAAAGAAAGAAUAACAAAUGAAUUGAGGUUAUACAAAAUCAAGAGUGCAGUUGGAUAUCAACAGAUUUUUUUUCCAGUGGCCAUAUAUGCACAUUUCUAUCUUCUAUGCAUUGAUCAUAUCAAUGAGACAAUGCAUAUAAUUGAC